UUUAUACGACCGCAAAAAAAUUUUUGUGGUCGUAUAUUGAUAUGACGUUGGCGUCGUCGUCCGAAGACACAUUAGUUUUCGCACUCUAACUUUAGUUUAAGUGAAUGGAUCUCAAUGAAAUUUUACCAUAAGGUUAAAUACCACAAAAGGAAGGUGGGGAUUGAUUUUGGGGGUUAUGGUACAAACAGUUUAGGAAUUAGGGGCCAAAAAUAAGCAUUUUUGUAACUUCCAGACAUAACUUGUGUGUAAGUGUAUGGAUCUCUCUGACAUUGUACCACAAGGUUCCAUAUCACAAAGGGAAUGCUGGGAUUGAUUUUGGGGGUAAUUGCCUCCAAAUUUUAGGAAUGAGGGGCCAAAAAGGGGCAAAAAACAAGCAUUUUUCUAGUUUCAUGACAAUAACUUGUGUGUAAGUCUAUGGAUCUCUCUGACAUUGUAUCACAAGGUUCCAUAUCACAAAGGGAAUGCUGGGAUUGAUUUUGGAGGUAAUUGCCUCCAAAUUUUAGGAAUUAGGGGCCAAAAAGGGGCAAAAAACAAGCAUUUUUCUAGUUUCAUGACAAUAACUUGUGUGUAAGUGUAUGGAUCUUUCUGAAAUUGUACUACAAGGUUCCAUAUCACAAAGGGAAAGCUGGAAUUGAGUUUGGGGGUAAUUGCCCAAAAAGUUUAGGAAUAAGGGGCCAAAAAUAAGCAUUUUUCUAGUUUCCAGACAAUAACUUGUGUUCAAGUGUAUGGAUCUCUCUGAAAUUGUACUGCAAGGUACCAUACCACAAAGAGAAGGCUGGGAUUGAGUUUGGAGGUGAUGAAUCAUAAGGGGGUUCAAAAA
Long non-coding RNA from Mytilus californianus (California mussel), 820 nucleotides. RefSeq lists it as uncharacterized. The record is from RefSeq and is a predicted model, not a curated record. NCBI's taxonomy places the organism in Eukaryota, Metazoa, Mollusca, Bivalvia, Mytilida, Mytilidae. The transcript has 3 exons.